This 465-nucleotide ribosomal RNA is filed under the name uncultured bacterium. Its description in RNAcentral is "partial 16S ribosomal RNA". It matches the Rfam family "Bacterial small subunit ribosomal RNA", at positions 28 to 507 of the family's 1533-position model. The record is from RNAcentral.
GACGAACGCUGGCGGCGUGCUUAACACAUGCAAGUCGAGCGAGGCCCCUCCUUCGGGAGGGUGUCCUAGCGGCGAACGGGUGAGUAACACGUGGGCAACCUGCCCUCAGCUCUGGGAUAACUCCGGGAAACCGGGGCUAAUACCGGAUACGACCUCCACGGGCAUCUGCGGAGGUGGAAAGUUUUUCGGCUGAGGAUGGGCCCGCGGCCUAUCAGCUAGUUGGUGGGGUAGUGGCCCACCAAGGCGACGACGGGUAGCCGGCCUGAGAGGGCGACCGGCCACACUGGGACUGAGACACGGCCCAGACUCCUACGGGAGGCAGCAGUGGGGAAUAUUGCGCAAUGGGGGAAAGCCUGACGCAGCGACGCCGCGUGAGGGACGAAGGCCUUCGGGUUGUAAACCUCUUUCAGCAGGGACGAAGCGAAAGUGACGGUACCUGCAGAAGAAGCACCGGCCAACUACGUG